GUCAAAGCAAUCUAAGUGGUCAGAAUAUUGGACUAUGACUCUGGAGGCCAGGGUUCAAUUCCCGCUUGGCCA
Non-coding RNA from Phrynosoma platyrhinos (Desert horned lizard), 72 nucleotides. Lineage: Eukaryota; Metazoa; Chordata; Lepidosauria; Squamata; Phrynosomatidae. The record is from the annotation of a GenBank genome assembly.